Molecule: long non-coding RNA, 1416 nt
Organism: Coturnix japonica (Japanese quail)
Lineage: Eukaryota; Metazoa; Chordata; Aves; Galliformes; Phasianidae
Source: Ensembl
AUGCGCAGCUGUCGGCCAUGCCGAAAGGAGCCAAAAGUGCCGCGGUCCGAGAGGAGGAAUGGAAGGGGGACGAGGAAGGGAACGGUUGAGAACAUCUUCAGUGCGUUGAGCUUGGAGGACGAGGAAGAGGAGGAGGAGGAGGAAGGAAACCGGCCCCAUAGAAAGAAGGACGAGGAAGAAGAGGAGGAAGAUGGGAGGAAGAAGAAGAACAGGAAGAAUGAAAAGAACUGCAGCAGGCGGCAGAACCAAUUUGCUGCUUUGGGCUCCGACGAAGGGGAGGAAGAAGAAGAGGAAGAAGCCGAAAAACCCGGAAGUCCAACCCCCAAAGAGGAAGAGGAAGUGGGGGGAAAAAAGGCCCAAAUCAGUAAAAAGGAAAGGAAAAAGAUGAAGAAACAGGUGGGUGGGCGGGACUUCCGGGGGGUGGGACUUCCGGGUGGGCGCGACUUCCGGGUGGGUGGGACUUCCGGGUGGGCGGGACUUCCGGCGGGUGGGAUUUCCGGGUGAGCGCGACUUCCGGGGGUGGGACUUCCGGGAGGGGUUUACUUUAUGGGUGGGACUUCCGGGGGGGUGUGGCAUAUCACCGGAAGUGCAUUGUGUAUAUGACCAAAAGGGGCGUGGCUUAGUACAGAAAGAGAGUUUGACCACGUGUCCGGAAGUGGGCGUGGCUUAAGACAGGAAGUGGUUAUUGCGCAUAGCCGGAAGUGGGCGUGGCUUAUGGAAAAUAACUGGCAGUGUAACCGGAAGUGGGCGUGGCUUAAGACAGAAAGCGACGAGUACAUACCCGGAAGUGGGCGUGACUUACUGCCGGAAAUGAAACCCAACAUAACCGGAAGUGGCGCUGCUUACAACAGGAAGCGGUCGUGCAAAACCGAAAGUGGGCGUGGCUUACGACAGGAAGUGGGCGUGUGUUGGGACCGGAAAUGGUGUCCCACGUGACAGGAAGUAGGCAUAGUGUUAUGCAUACCCGGAAGUGGGCGUGGCUUACGACAGGAAGUGGGCGUCUUGGGACCGGAAAUGGUGUCCCACGUGACAGGAAGUAGACAUAGUGUUGCGCAUAACCGGAAGUGGGUGUGGCUUACGACAGGAAGUGGGCGUGUGUUGGGACCGGAAAUGGUUUCCCACGUGACAGGAAGUAGACAUAGUGUUGUGCGUACCCGGAAGUGGGCGUGGCUUAGGACAGGAAGUAGGAGCCACGUGACAGGAAGCGAGCGUUGCUUACAACAGGAAGUGGGAGUCACGUGACAGGAAGUGGUCCCCCACGUGACAGGAAGUGGGCGUGUCCUGACGUGUCCCCUCCCCCUAUAGCUGGAUUACCAGCGCCAGGUGGCCACGAUGGCGGCGGCCGCGGCCGACAGCGACUUCGCGGUGUCUCAGGCCGACGGGUCCUCGCGGCACGCGGCGCUCGACAACGCCGCC